Molecule: ribosomal RNA, 633 nt
Filed under: bacterium R.23
Lineage: Bacteria
Description: bacterial SSU rRNA
Rfam family: Bacterial small subunit ribosomal RNA
Source: RNAcentral
UAGUGGCGAACGGGUGAGUAACACGUGAGUAACCUGCCCUUGACUCUGGGAUAAGCCUGGGAAACCGGGUCUAAUACUGGAUACGACCUUCCCACGCAUGUGGUGUUGGUGGAAAGCUUUUGUGGUUUUGGAUGGACUCGCGGCCUAUCAGCUUGUUGGUGGGGUAAUGGCCUACCAAGGCGACGACGGGUAGCCGGCCUGAGAGGGUGACCGGCCACACUGGGACUGAGACACGGCCCAGACUCCUACGGGAGGCAGCAGUGGGGAAUAUUGCACAAUGGGCGCAAGCCUGAUGCAGCGACGCCGCGUGAGGGAUGAAGGCCUUCGGGUUGUAAACCUCUUUCAGUAGGGAAGAAGCCGGNUCUUUGGGUUGGUGACGGUACCUGCAGAAGAAGCGCCGGCUAACUACGUGCCAGCAGCCGCGGUAAUACGUAGGGCGCAAGCGUUAUCCGGAAUUAUUGGGCGUAAAGAGCUCGUAGGCGGUUUGUCGCGUCUGCCGUGAAAGUCCGGGGCUUAACCCCGGAUCUGCGGUGGGUACGGGCAGACUAGAGUGCAGUAGGGGAGACUGGAAUUCCUGGUGUAGCGGUGAAAUGCGCAGAUAUCAGGAGGAACACCGAUGGCGAAGGCAGGUCU